ACGGAGAUGUAAGAAAACCAAGAUCUACAACGGCAGUUGCAUUCUUGAUCAAAACCAGUUGGACUGCACAAUUAUGAAGUGUUAUUGGGACAUAACCAGGUUGGUAAGUGUCAUCGGCGCAUUGAACAUAGGAUCACCUCCAAUCUUGCAGUUCUCAUGAUCAACAGUCAGCGAUUUAGGUAGCACAAACCCCCCACAGGCAUCAGAGUCCUCGAGGUCUUGGCUGCUGCUGUUGCUAGCUUCACGACGUUGUUUCUUAUGAGAAAAAGAAUCUUCGGUCAGCUCCCUUCUGCGUUUUUUCUUCUUUAAUGAAUUCCAUUUGAAUUGAGGAUCCUUGGUCAGAUCUGGGAUGUCUCCCUCUCCAUCGGUCGAUGUAUAUCCUCCACUUGGUGUGAUCUCAUCUUGGUCUGU
This 411-nucleotide long non-coding RNA is filed under the name Musa acuminata (dwarf banana). RNAcentral describes it as "long non-coding RNA (MACU_LNC005514)". Lineage: Eukaryota; Viridiplantae; Streptophyta; Magnoliopsida; Zingiberales; Musaceae. The record is from RNAcentral.